Molecule: ribosomal RNA, 371 nt
Filed under: uncultured organism
Description: partial 16S ribosomal RNA
Rfam family: Bacterial small subunit ribosomal RNA
Source: RNAcentral
GUAGGUGGCAAGCGUUGUCCGGAAUUAUUGGGCGUAAAGCGCGCGCAGGCGGUUCUUUAAGUCUGAUGUGAAAGCCCACGGCUCAACCGUGGAGGGUCAUUGGAAACUGGAGAACUUGAGUACAGAAGAGGAAAGCGGAAUUCCACGUGUAGCGGUGAAAUGCGUAGAGAUGUGGAGGAACACCAGUGGCGAAGGCGGCUUUCUGGUCUGUAACUGACGCUGCGGCGCGAAAGCGUGGGGGAGCAAACAGGAUUAGAUACCCUGGUAGUCCACGCCGUAAACGAUGAGUGCUAAGUGUUAGGGGGUUUCCGCCCCUUAGUGCUGCAGCUAACGCAUUAAGCACUCCGCCUGGGAGUACGGCCGCAAGGCUG